GAGUGGCGCACGGGUGAGUAACGCGUGGGAACCUAUCCCGGGGUGGGGGAUAACCACUGGAAACGGUGGCUAAUACCGCACGAUCCCUGAGGGGCAAAGCAGCGAUGCGCCCUGGAGGGGCCCGCGUCCGAUUAGCUAGUUGGCGGGGUAAGAGCCCACCAAGGCGGUGAUAGGUAGCUGGUCUGAGAGGAUGACCAGCCACACUGGGACUGAGACACGGCCCAAACUCCUACGGGAGGCAGCAGUAGGGAAUAUUGACAAUGGGCGCAAGCCUGAUCCAGCCAUGCCGCGUGAGUGAUGAAGGCCUUAGGGUUGUAAAGCUCUUUCGCACGCGAGGAUGAUGACGGUAGCGUGAGAAGAAGCCCCGGCUAACUUCGUGCCAGCAGCCGCGGUAAUACGAAGGGGGCUAGCGUUGUUCGGAAUUACUGGGCGUAAAGGGCGCGUAGGCGGUCGAUCGCGUUGGGUGUGAAAGCCCCGGGCUCAACCUGGGAUGGGCGCCCGA
Molecule: ribosomal RNA, 502 nt
Filed under: uncultured bacterium
Lineage: Bacteria
Description: bacterial SSU rRNA
Rfam family: Bacterial small subunit ribosomal RNA
Source: RNAcentral